CCUACGGGUGGGCAGCAGUGGGGGAUAUUGCACAAUGGAGGGAACUCUGAUGCAGCGACGCCGCGUGAGGGAAGAAGGUUUUCGGAUUGUAAACCUCUGUCUUCGGUGACGAAACGAGACGGUAGCCGAGGAGGAAGCCACGGCUAACUACGUGCCAGCAGCCGCGGUAAUACGUAGGUGGCAAGCGUUGUCCGGAAUUACUGGGUGUAAAGGGAGCGUAGGCGGGAAAGCAAGUUGAAUGUUUAAUCUACCGGCUUAACUGGUAGCUGCGUUCAAAACUUCUUGUCUUGAGUGAAGUAGAGGCAGGCGGAAUUCCUAGUGUAGCGGUGAAAUGCGUAGAUAUUAGGAGGAACACCAGUGGCGAAGGCGGCCUGCUGGGCUUUAACUGACGCUGAGGCUCGAAAGCGUGGGGAGCAAACAGGAUUAGAUACCCGUGUAGUC
RNAcentral lists this ribosomal RNA (441 nucleotides) under uncultured bacterium. RNAcentral's name for it is "partial 16S ribosomal RNA". It matches the Rfam family "Bacterial small subunit ribosomal RNA", at positions 338 to 795 of the family's 1533-position model. The record is from RNAcentral.